UACGUAGGGCGCGAGCGUUAAUCGGAAUUACUGGGUGUAAAGUGUGCGCAGGCGGCCGAGCAAGUCGAGUGUGAAAGCCCCGAGCUUAACUUGGGAACUGCGCUCGAAACUACUUGGCUAGAGUGUGGCAGAGGGAGGUGGAAUUCCACGUGUAGCGGUGAAAUGCGUAGAGAUGUGGAGGAACACCGAUGGCGAAGGCAGCCUCCUGGGCCAACACUGACGCUCAUGCACGAAAGCGUGGGGAGCAAACAGG
Molecule: ribosomal RNA, 253 nt
Filed under: uncultured bacterium
Lineage: Bacteria
Description: partial 16S ribosomal RNA
Rfam family: Bacterial small subunit ribosomal RNA
Source: RNAcentral